Molecule: ribosomal RNA, 441 nt
Filed under: uncultured bacterium
Lineage: Bacteria
Description: partial 16S ribosomal RNA
Rfam family: Bacterial small subunit ribosomal RNA
Source: RNAcentral
CCUACGGGGUGCUGCAGUGGGGGAUAUUGCACAAUGGGGGGAACCCUGAUGCAGCGACGCCGCGUGGGUGAAGGAGUGCUUCGGCAUGUAAAGCCCUAUCGGCAGGGAAGAAGCAAGACGGUACCUGACUAAGAAGCCCCGGCUAACUACGUGCCAGCAGCCGCGGUAAUACGUAGGGGGCGAGCGUUAUCCGGAUUCACUGGGGGUAAAGGGAGCGUAGACGGCCAUGCAAGCCAGGGGUGAAAGCCCGGGGCCCAACCCCGGGACUGCCCUUGGAACUGUGCGGCUAGAGUGCGGGAGGGGCAGGCGGAAUUCCUGGUGUAGCGGUGAAAUGCGUAGAUAUCAGGAGGAACACCGGCGGCGGAGGCGGCCUGCUGGACCGCGACUGACGUUGAGGCUCGAAAGCGUGGGGAGCGAACAGGAUUAGAUACCCCUGUAGUC